RNAcentral lists this small nuclear RNA (102 nucleotides) under Mus pahari (shrew mouse). Lineage: Eukaryota; Metazoa; Chordata; Mammalia; Rodentia; Muridae. The record is from RNAcentral.
GUGCUCGCUUCAGCAGCACAUACACUAAAAUUGGAAGGGCACUCAGAGAAGAUUAAGCAUGGCCCCUGCUAAGCGCUCCAUAUUGACCGGCAAAAAAAAAAA